GCAUGCCACACUAGAUAACUACGAACCAGAUAUAAAUCUUGUAGAUGAUGGGCAAAGGGGGAGCCAGAUCACAAUUGGGUUGAUGAAGUAGUUAGAUGUGAAGCAAGAGGUGGUGUGGGUGUUGGUAGUGAUCUCAGCCUGAGCUACCUUAGGCCAAGACGGGAAAAAAAAAGAUUGCACUCUAUUGACUCGAGAAGAGAUUGAAAAUCCAAAAAUAUGGGCUCAAAUUUGCGUCCAGAAAAUAGUAGAAUUGGCCAAGGAGAGUACGACAAUGCACCAGGUUUUAGAUCCAAUGUUUCGCUUGCUUUGAUAAU
This is a long non-coding RNA of Telopea speciosissima, 314 nucleotides long. RefSeq lists it as uncharacterized. The transcript is spliced from 3 exons. The record is from RefSeq and is a predicted model, not a curated record. Lineage: Eukaryota; Viridiplantae; Streptophyta; Magnoliopsida; Proteales; Proteaceae.